Molecule: long non-coding RNA, 1122 nt
Organism: Mesocricetus auratus (golden hamster)
Lineage: Eukaryota; Metazoa; Chordata; Mammalia; Rodentia; Cricetidae
Exons: 5
Source: RefSeq, a predicted model, not a curated record
AGUUGGGCCUGGCAUUUCCCUUCUGCCCUACACAGGGCCUCAGGGGUCCUAGGACAAAGAAAGGCCUCGUGCACAGGGUCUCCAGUCCCGGCAAUUGGAAGUGAGGGGCUGCUGUCACCUUGCCUCCCACCUCCCAUGGCUCUGAAGUGAACCCACAAGAAUGAAAUGACCAGGAUGGGAGCCCUCCCUAUGGUUUCCAGCAGAUCAUCACUGCAAACCACCUAAUGGUGCCUUCACAAUGAGAAGUUAUCAUCUGGGAGCUGGUGAGGUGGCUUAAUGGUUACAAACACUGGCUGCUCUUACAGAGGAUCUAAGUUUGGUUCCCAGCACCCACAUGGAGGCUUACAACCACCUUUAACUCCAGUUCCAGAGCAUCUGAUACCUUCUUCCAGCCUCCGAGGGCACCAUGUAUACAGGAGGUUGCAGUCCUGUCCUAAACACCUCUAAUCUCACCCUACACCUUCAUUUAUCAAAGAAGAGGGUAACAUCUGGUGUGGUGCUAUACUCCUUUGAACUCAGAACUAAGCAGAGGCAAAGGCAGAUGGAUCUUGCAAAGCCGAGAAUCUCUCUCCCAGGAAGUAGAGUUCUCCGAAAGAACGCAGGCUGCUGCAGGCAAUGGCAUGGAGCUUACUAACCAUGGAAAUGCGGCUGCAGCUGGUUGGGACUGCCGCCUUCCCAUCGGUGCCACACAUCUAUCUUCCGCCUUUGCCUGACUGGCUCCAGCUUGUCUGCUGUCCUUCACGUUCCUCUUCCUCACGAGGCUUCCCAACCUUCACUAAAUCGUGGACUCCACUGCUCCGUCUCAACUUGCCUCUCCUUGACAUGGAGUCUCAGCUCUGACAAGAACCCAUUUGUCACCUCUUUUCCCCCCAGCACCCUGGCCCACACAGGCCUUUUCCUGGAAUCUGCCAUCUGCCUCCCCAACAGCUCAGGAGGCCAUCAGCCAAGGUGAGAAGAGAGACCAAAGACAGCUUGUGCCUGGACACAGAGGGGAAGAUGGCCAGUAGGACAGAGGCUCGGCCUGAGGACCUGCCCAUCAAAAAUCCCUGGUUGAUGAUAUCACGAAUCACAACAGGAAACAGCUUCACAAAAGAAGCCUACAAAGGGGCUGGAGAAAUGGCU